AUAGAGAAACUGCAAAACACGUGUGGAGUUCAAAUAAUCGCAAUAUUGAGAAGACCGAAAUUAUAGAAAGAGGGAAAAAAUUGUGAUUAACUUUCAUAAAUCACGUGAAGAUUACUUUUACAACAUAAUGAAAAUAUUCUUUAACGUUUAUCUGAUAAUGGCACUAAUGGCUAUUAUGAUUUCAUCGGUGAUCUGUCAACGAUACAAUCCUAAUAAGCUACAUAAUACUCAGAACCAAGGGCGCGGCUAUAGAGAAAUCGAACUGACUGAUUAGCAAAUAUGCAAAAUGCAGAUACUGCAGAUUUACAAAUAUAUUCAAAUAUAUAAAAUCAAUUGCUAAUUCAAGAAUUAUUUAAUAAUCUAAUGAAAAAGACGAACUAAUUUGAGAGUUAUGAAUUAACAAAAUAAUAUUUAGAAAAAAUAAAGUUUAAUUUUCUCUUGCUAA
Long non-coding RNA from Nylanderia fulva, 445 nucleotides. RefSeq lists it as uncharacterized. The record is from RefSeq and is a predicted model, not a curated record. Lineage: Eukaryota; Metazoa; Arthropoda; Insecta; Hymenoptera; Formicidae.